AUUGAACGCUGGCGGCAGGCCUAACACAUGCAAGUCGAACGAGUCGCGGACGGGUGAGCAAUGUCUGGGAAACUGCCUGAUGGAGGGGGAUAACUAAUGGAAACGGUAGCUAAUACCGCAUACCAUCAGAUGUGCCCAGAUGUGAUUAGCUAGGUGGUGGGGUAACGGCUCACCAAGGCGAAGAUCCCUAGCUGGCCUGAGAGGAUGACCAGCCACACUGGAACUGAGACACGGUCCAGACUCCUACUGUAGGCAGCAGUGGGGAAUAGUGCCCAAGGGGCGAAAGCCUGAUGCAUCCAUGCCGCGUGUAUGAAGAAGGCCUUCGGUUUGUAAAGUACUUUCAGCGGUGAGGCGUUACCCGCAGAAGAAGCACCGGCUAACUCCGUGCCAGCCGCCGCGGUAAUAC
This 406-nucleotide ribosomal RNA is filed under the name uncultured bacterium. Its description in RNAcentral is "partial 16S ribosomal RNA". It matches the Rfam family "Bacterial small subunit ribosomal RNA", at positions 30 to 526 of the family's 1533-position model. The record is from RNAcentral.